AUACGUAGGGUGCAAGCGUUAAUCGGAAUUACUGGGCGUAAAGCGUGCGCAGGCGGUUUUGUAAGACAGAGGUGAAAUCCCCGGGCUCAAACUGGGAACUGCCUUUGUGACUGCAAGGCUAGAGUACGGCAGAGGGGGAUGGAAUUCCGCGUGUAGCAGUGAAAUGCGUAGAUAUGCGGAGGAGCACCGAUGGCGGAGGCAAUCCCCUGGGCCUGUACUGACGCUCAUGCGCGAAAGCGUGGGGAGCAAACAGGAUUAGAUACCCUGGUAGUCCACGCCCUAAACGAUGUCAACUGGUUGUUGGGUCUUCAUUGACUCAGUAACGAAGCUAACGCGUGAAGUUGACCGCCUGGGGAGUACGGCCGCAAGGUUGAAACUCAAAUGAAUUGACGGGG
RNAcentral lists this ribosomal RNA (395 nucleotides) under uncultured bacterium. RNAcentral's name for it is "partial 16S ribosomal RNA". It matches the Rfam family "Bacterial small subunit ribosomal RNA", at positions 523 to 918 of the family's 1533-position model. The record is from RNAcentral.